This 641-nucleotide ribosomal RNA is filed under the name uncultured bacterium. RNAcentral describes it as "bacterial SSU rRNA". It matches the Rfam family "Bacterial small subunit ribosomal RNA", at positions 119 to 776 of the family's 1533-position model. The record is from RNAcentral.
AUCCAACCUGCCCUUUACUCGGGGAUAGCCUUUCGAAAGAAAGAUUAAUACCCGAUGGCAUAAUGAUUCCGCAUGGUUUCAUUAUUAAAGGAUUCCGGUAAAGGAUGGGGAUGCGUUCCAUUAGGUUGUUGGUGAGGUAACGGCCCACCAAGGCAGUGAUAGGUAGCCGGCCUGAGAGGGUGAACGGCCACAAGGGGACUGAGACACGGCCCUUACUCCUACGGGAGGCAGCAGUGGGGAAUAUUGGACAAUGGACCAAAAGUCUGAUCCAGCAAUUCUGUGUGCACGAUGAAGUUUUUCGGAAUGUAAAGUGCUUUCAGUUGGGACGAAGAACGUGACGGUACCAACAGAAGAAGCGACGGCUAAAUACGUGCCAGCAGCCGCGGUAAUACGUAUGUCGCAAGCGUUAUCCGGAUUUAUUGGGCGUAAAGCGCGUCUAGGCGGUUUGAUAAGUCUGAUGUGAAAAUGCGGGGCUCAACCCCGUAUUGCGUUGGAAACUGCCAAACUAGAGUACUGGAGAGGUGGGCGGAACUACAAGUGUAGAGGUGAAAUUCGUAGAUAUUUGUAGGAAUGCCGAUGGAGAAGUCAGCCCACUGGACAGAUACUGACGCUGAAGCGCGAAAGCGUGGGUAGCAAACAGG